GGUGGUUCACAGGUUAUGCACCCCAGAAUCAGGCUCCCUCCUCUCUGGUUCUGGGUGCAUCACCCUAGAACAGCU
This is a non-coding RNA of Myotis davidii, 75 nucleotides long. Lineage: Eukaryota; Metazoa; Chordata; Mammalia; Chiroptera; Vespertilionidae. The record is from Rfam.